GGGAGCGCGCAUGCGCAGCGCUGCUGGCCCGCUCUCUGAGGAGCUUUCAAUACUUUGGGGUCAAGUUUGAGGCAGUUGUAACUGUACUGAGUUUAGUUUUGCUAAUAAUGGUAUUCUACGUGUGUCAGCCUCGUGUGGACUUCUGUAAUGACUAAUGGAUAUGUUUAUAUCCUGAGCAUUUGCUGUAGGAAUUUUAAAUGCAUUCCCAAAACUCAAGAUUACCUUAUUUGGAGAAAUAUUAGUGUUACUAUGUUUAAAAUUUAAUAGAUAGAACCAUAUUUUACCUUUCACUUUGGGACUCGCACAGGAUGUUUGCAGCUCUUGAUAUACAGGAACUAGAACGUGUCUUUUAAGAGCAUGCGGUUUUAUAAUUACGUGGAAGUAUGCUACGCAAGGGAAAAAAGCCUCUUGCUAGUGUUAAGGGUCUUUAUAAACAGAAACCGCAAGGAACCUGGGAUCUGACAGCUGUUGGAGGAAUGCCUGUGAGGAAGGAGGAGGAACAGAAGAAUGCUUCGAUGUCUUAAAUGGUACAUCCAAACUUAAGUGAAAUAGAGCUGUGAGGACAUUUUGGGGAGAAGUGACCUAGAUAAGCACUGACUGUUGCAUUCAUCUCUCUUCUUGCUGAUUGUGAUGAUUUCCUGUGCCAUAGCCAUUCAAAGUCUGCCAAAAAAGUACACCAAUAUCUUCUGGGGGAAAAUGGAGCAAUCACAUUAAAACAUACUCCUCAAAGAAGUCCAUAACACCUGAACAAAGGAGUUCUUCAGGAAACCCUGUCCUGAGGCAAGAGUAAACAGCACCUGUCAUACAGUAUAUAGUUUAAAAGAAAAAGUCAUCUAAAAGAAUCAGGAUGGUUGAGGGGGUGUGAAACUCAGAAGAAAGGAGAUGAAAGUCUAAGAUGCUGUGUUUUCUCACCAGCGUGGAUAGUGAAAUGCACAGAACACCAUUGUUUACAGUAUCUCUGGGCUGUGAAGCCGCCGUGAUUGCAGCUGGCUGGGGCAGACUGAAAGGGUAGCAUCACCAAAACCCAACUCAUUUUCGAAAAACACAAAUCCUUUUCACUGCCUGUGGACAAAAUUACUGACUGACAUGCUAAACCUAUUAAAUAUGUAUUUUGCAAAUUUUGAAAUGAGGAAAAAUGCUACAUAAAAAUUUUUACAGAUGCUGAAUGAUUGUAAAUGUGGUUAGAGAUGUGGGACUUGCUCCAACUUUGUUCUUUCGUGGAUUGCUAUUAGCUUACAUUUGAAAUCUCUGUUGGCCACGUAUUUCACAUUGUUCUUCCAAAUGUAAUCAUUUCUCUCUUUUAUCUGAUCUCCUACAGUCUCUCUGUUUUCAUCAAUAUCUGACAGCAAUUCCCAAAGAUCCAAUAUAGUCCACUCUAAUAUCCUUAUGUGUACUCUCUUCCCUCUUUGAAAUCUAAUACCUCAGCAGUGAAAUAAUUUAUUGUGCUUUAUUUAGACUUUUAUUUUUUGCAUGUGCUUUGAUAUUAUCCUUUUGAAAGAAGUUAUUUGGAAAUUUAAACCAACUGUUCACCAAAAGUUAUGAAAGCAUGAUUAAGAAUUUUUCUCUCUUUUUAAAUCCCCUUUAAACCUUCAUUUUUUGUGUGUGCUAUGGCAAAUGCCACAAAGUCCAUGGGUCUGGCAAUGAUGGGAAAAUGAAGAUGAAUACUUUUUAGAGCCCCAGCUAAUGGGUAAAGCCAUACAGAAGAUCCAAUGAGCCAGAAAAAUCAGUGACAUUUUAUUUUUCUCAGUAACCCUUAGUUUAUGUGGUUGUCAGAACCUGGAGAUGUUUAAUUCAUUGAAUAUGACCUUCUGGUGAAAUGACUAUGCCACCAUUGUACUUGCUAAUAAAUAAAUGAGAGCUACUUGGUUCCAAAUUGCAUAUACUAUAUUUCUGUUUAUCUUGAGGCUUGAAGACAUGCAUCUUAUAAGCACUAUCUCAGAAUAAGUUUUUGUGGGUACAGUACAGUAAUAUGUGCACUGUUAAAUUAAAGGGAAAGCUUGUUCCAGUGAAAUGGUUGGCAGAAGAUUAUAAAACUUGAUGGAUAGAAAAAUAUGCCUUUCAGUGAAAAAGAAAAAGCAGAUACAGAAAGCAAGCAAUCAGGCCUCUGAGCAGCAUCUAGCAAUAUUCAUCCCUUUCCAGUGUUUAAGAUCAGUCCACUCUCAUAUCGCCAUUUUCUUCUUUGCUCUUCCCUUUUACUCAAGAAAAUUGUCCCUUGGUUGUGCCAAAAAUUUGAAGCAAGAAUGAAAAAUAUUUUGCUUUAUUGCUAACCUGUGAAAAUGUGUUUUUUUUGCCAGUGUUGUGGUGGUUGGGAUUUUUUUUUUCUUUCUUUCUUACAUAGCUCUAUUCCUGGCAGGAUAGAUCUUGACGUACAAAUAAAAUUCCAUCAUAAAUAAGUAAACUAUGGUUAGAAUAAAUAAGUAAAAUUGA
Pan troglodytes (chimpanzee) is the source of this 2427-nucleotide long non-coding RNA. RefSeq lists it as uncharacterized. Lineage: Eukaryota; Metazoa; Chordata; Mammalia; Primates; Hominidae. The transcript has 7 exons. The record is from RefSeq and is a predicted model, not a curated record.